AAAAGGAUUGCUUGUGGAUUAGAUGAGUGCACAGCUACUACAUCAAGCAAAGGGACUUAGAAACAAUGCCAUCACCCAAGACAGCUUCUUGGGUGGUAAAGAAGAUACUAGAUAGAAGGGAAGAUCUCAUGGGAGUUCAAGUGAGCCAAGGCAACCUUUUCACUAGAUUGCAAACAUUCUGUAGCCUGGAUAAAUUCCUUAUCCACAAGCUAUACCUGGCACUAACUCCUACCUAUAGUAAGGCUGCUUGGAGGAACCUGGUACUAUUUGCCCAAGCUCAACCAAGGUACAAAUUUACAGUCUGGCUAGCUGCUCAUGGAAGAUUACCUACAGUUGAUAGACUACAGAAGAUUGGGUCCAAGUCCCUCAAUCAUGUGUACUCUUAUGGAAGAUUACCUACAGUUCAUAGACUUCAGAAGAUUGGAGUCCAAGUCCCUCAAUCAUGUGUACUCUGUGACUAUAGCAAUGAGGUCUUUAGCCAUCUUUUCUUUGACUGCUCUAUCACCAAAAACCUGUGGAGCAGAAUCUGCUCCUGGCUAGGAUACAUAGAAAUGUGGAGAACAGGGAGACAGAAAUGAUG
This 580-nucleotide long non-coding RNA is filed under the name Nicotiana benthamiana. RNAcentral's name for it is "long non-coding RNA (NBEN_LNC040233)". Lineage: Eukaryota; Viridiplantae; Streptophyta; Magnoliopsida; Solanales; Solanaceae. The record is from RNAcentral.